RNAcentral lists this ribosomal RNA (406 nucleotides) under uncultured bacterium. RNAcentral describes it as "partial 16S ribosomal RNA". It matches the Rfam family "Bacterial small subunit ribosomal RNA", at positions 30 to 526 of the family's 1533-position model. The record is from RNAcentral.
AUUGAACGCUGGCGGCAGGCUUAACACAUGCAAGUCGAGCGAGCGGCGGACGGGUGAGUAAUGUCUGGGAAACUGCCUGAUGGAGGGGGAUAACUACUGGAAACGGUAGCUAAUACCGCAUACCAUCAGAUGUGCCCAGAUGGGAUUAGCUAGUAGGUGGGGUAAUGGCUCACCUAGGCGACGAUCCCUAGCUGGUCUGAGAGGAUGACCCGCCACACCUGGACUGAGACACGGUCCAGACCCCUACGGGGGGCAGCAGUGGGGAAUAUUGGACAAUGGGUGGAAGCCUGAGUGAGCCAUGCCGCGUGUAUGAAGAAGGCCUUCGGGUUGUAAAGUACUUUCAGCGGGGAGGCGUUACUCGCAGAAGAAGCACCGGCUAACUCCGUGCCAGCAGCCGCGGUAAUAC